RNAcentral lists this ribosomal RNA (429 nucleotides) under Acidobacteriota bacterium. Its description in RNAcentral is "Acidobacteria bacterium partial 16S ribosomal RNA". It matches the Rfam family "Bacterial small subunit ribosomal RNA", at positions 355 to 776 of the family's 1533-position model. Lineage: Bacteria; Pseudomonadati; Acidobacteriota. The record is from RNAcentral.
UAGGGAAUCUUCCGCAAUGGGCGAAAGCCUGACGGAGCAACGCCGCGUGAGUGAUGAAGGUCUUCGGAUCGUAAAACUCUGUUAUUAGGGAAGAACAUACGUGUAAGUAACUGUGCACGUCUUGACGGUACCUAAUCAGAAAGCCACGGCUAACUACGUGCCAGCAGCCGCGGUAAUACGUAGGUGGCAAGCGUUAUCCGGAAUUAUUGGGCGUAAAGCGCGCGUAGGCGGUUUUUUAAGUCUGAUGUGAAAGCCCACGGCUCAACCGUGGAGGGUCAUUGGAAACUGGAAAACUUGAGUGCAGAAGAGGAAAGUGGAAUUCCAUGUGUAGCGGUGAAAUGCGCAGAGAUAUGGAGGAACACCAGUGGCGAAGGCGACUUUCUGGUCUGUAACUGACGCUGAUGUGCGAAAGCGUGGGGAUCAAACAGG